UGAGUUGUGUUUCACUCUUUUUGCAUGUAUGGUAUUGCUUAUAUGACCUACCAGUUGAGAGAUGGUGCUAGAGAUUGGUGGAGGUUGCUCUUGAGCUGUAGACCCCGUGAUUCUCUUAAGAUAACUUGGGAUUAGUUUGUUGAUGCCUUCGUGGAGAGAUUUGUGCCUUUCAAUUUGAGAGAUACUAUGUGGAAUAAAUUUGAUCAUUUGGAGCAGGGAUCCAUGAUAGUUGUUGAGUAUGAGGCACGCUUCCUUGCCUUGUCCAGAUAUUCCUAUGAUAGCAUUUUCACCGAGUCAGAGAAAGUUUGAAAGUUUGUGAAGGGUUUAGAUAUUUUCUCUUCAGUUGUCUACAUCUCAAAUGGUUGUGUUUGGGACUUCUUUAUAGAGUAUUAUGGAUAAUGCUAAGAUAACAGUGGAUAUUCUUACCGCAUCUUAGGGAGAUGCUAAGAAGGUGCAAUAUUUUGGUGAGUUCAGGAUUCAGACCUAUCGAGGCAGAGAUUUUAAAAGUUCUCUUAGAUACCAUGAUAGUCCAGUGAAAUCGGAUUUAUAGAGUUCAUGUGGUGGACCUUCUAGUUCAACAGUUCAGGGUGACCGUUCCAGCCCAGUUGUGCCUUCUCCUAUUGAGACUGAUCGUAGAGGUUGCUAUGUGUGUGAUGGGAUUUUUCAUAUGUCCAGGGAAUAUCCCUGCUAAGCUAGAAGAGGAGGCGUCUGAUGUUGUGAUCACAGCUUUAGGUUUGGGUGCGCCUCAGACUGGUUGAUUUCGGGCACCUUCAGGUUUCUCAAGAUAACGGUUGGAUAUUCCUGCGUCCGGAGUUCACCUCUAUCUUUUUGUAUUAGUUAUGUCUUUAUUAGUAUUCGGAGACAGAUAUUUUCCUUUGUAGUUAUUUUUCUAAUGUAUUUGACUCCGAAAUUGUAUUAGUAGUUUUUAUAUUGUUGACACAAGGAUUUAGAGUUAUGGCUGCAUGUAUUGAUUUUAUUCUUUUUGCUUUUAUUAUGUCUAUGUGGUUUGGCUUCGUUCUAGAAGCCUUAUCUUGAGGGUA
Molecule: long non-coding RNA, 1040 nt
Organism: Capsicum annuum
Lineage: Eukaryota; Viridiplantae; Streptophyta; Magnoliopsida; Solanales; Solanaceae
Exons: 2
Source: RefSeq, a predicted model, not a curated record